CUUUAAACAUGCAAGUCGAGCGGUAACACUUCGGGUGACGAGCGGCGAACGGGUGAGUAACACGUGGGUAUCUGCCUUAGAGUGGGGGACAACAUUUGGAAACGGUAGCUAAUACCCCAUAGUCCGGUAACGGUAAAGGAUCGUUUGAUUCGCUCUAAGAUGAGCCUGCGGCCUAUUAGCUAGUUGGUGGGGUAAAGGCCUGCCAAGGCAACGACGGGUAGCCGACCUGAGAGGGUGAUCGGCCACACUGGCACUGAGACACGGGCCAGACUCCUACGGGAGGCAGCAGUUAAGAAUCUUGCGCAAUGGGCGAAAGCCUGACGCAGCGACGCCGCGUGAGGGAUGAAGGCUUUCGGGUUGUAAACCUCAGUAAGAUGGGAAGAAUAAGAGUAUUCGAAAGGGUGCUCGAUGACGGUACCAUCCUGAAGCCCCGGCUAAUUACGUG
RNAcentral lists this ribosomal RNA (445 nucleotides) under uncultured bacterium. Its description in RNAcentral is "bacterial SSU rRNA". It matches the Rfam family "Bacterial small subunit ribosomal RNA", at positions 47 to 507 of the family's 1533-position model. The record is from RNAcentral.